This 450-nucleotide ribosomal RNA is filed under the name uncultured bacterium. RNAcentral describes it as "bacterial SSU rRNA". It matches the Rfam family "Bacterial small subunit ribosomal RNA", at positions 355 to 796 of the family's 1533-position model. The record is from RNAcentral.
UGGGGAAUAUUGCGCAAUGGGGGAAACCCUGACGCAGCGACGCCGCGUGGGCGAUGAAGGCCUUCGGGUCGUAAAGCCCUGUCGAGCGGGACGAAACGCAUGGGACUAAAUAGGUCUCGUGCCUGACGGUACCGCUGGAGGAAGCCCCGGCUAACUCCGUGCCAGCAGCCGCGGUAAUACGGAGGGGGCUAGCGUUAUUCGGAAUUAUUGGGCGUAAAGGGCGUGUAGGCGGCUUCGUGUGUCCCAUGUGAAAGCCCUCGGCUCAACCGAGGAACUGCAUGGGAAACUGCGGAGCUUGAGUCCGGGAGAGGAGAGCGGAAUUCCCAGUGUAGCGGUGAAAUGCGUAGAUAUUGGGAGGAACACCGGUGGCGAAGGCGGCUCUCUGGACCGGUACUGACGCUGAGACGCGAAAGCCAGGGGAGCAAACGGGAUUAGAUACCCCCGUAGUCC